This 982-nucleotide ribosomal RNA is filed under the name Vibrio sp. PAS31. RNAcentral's name for it is "bacterial SSU rRNA". It matches the Rfam family "Bacterial small subunit ribosomal RNA", at positions 197 to 1160 of the family's 1533-position model. The record is from RNAcentral. Lineage: Bacteria; Pseudomonadati; Pseudomonadota; Gammaproteobacteria; Vibrionales; Vibrionaceae.
CCCCCCAAAGAGGGGGACCUUCGGGCCUCUCGCGUCAGGAUAUGCCUAGGUGGGAUUAGCUAGUUGGUGAGGUAAGGGCUCACCAAGGCGACGAUGGGUAGCUGGUCUGAGAGGAUGAUCAGCCACACUGGAACUGAGACACGGUCCAGACUCCUACGGGAGGCAGCAGUGGGGAAUAUUGCACAAUGGGCGCAAGCCUGAUGCAGCCAUGCCGCGUGUGUGAAGAAGGCCUUCGGGUUGUAAAGCACAAACAGUCGUGAGGAAGGUAGUGUAGUUAAUAGCUGCAUUAUUUGACGUUAGCGACAGAAGAAGCACCGGCUAACUCCGUGCCAGCAGCCGCGGUAAUACGGAGGGUGCGAGCGUUAAUCGGAAUUACUGGGCGUAAAGCGCAUGCAGGUGGUUUGUUAAGUCAGAUGUGUUUGCCCGGGGCUCAACCUCGGAAUUGCAUUUGAAACUGGCAGACUAGAGUACUGUAGAGGGGGGUAGAAUUUCAGGUGUAGCGGUGAAAUGCGUAGAGAUCUGAAGGAAUACCGGUGGCGAAGGCGGCCCCCUGGACAGAUACUGACACUCAGAUGCGAAAGCGUGGGGAGCAAACAGGAUUAGAUACCCUGGUAGUCCACGCCGUAAACGAUGUCUACUUGGAGGUUGUGGCCUUGAGCCGUGGCUUUCGGAGCUAACGCGUUAAGUAGACCGCCUGGGGAGUACGGUCGCAAGAAAUUAACUCAAAUGAAUUGACGGGGGCCCGCACAAGCGGUGGAGCAUGUGGUUUAAUUCGAUGCAACGCGAAGAACCUUACCUACUCUUGACAUCCAGAGAACUUUCCAGAGAUGGAUUGGUGCCUUCGGGAACUCUGAGACAGGUGCUGCAUGGCUGUCGUCAGCUCGUGUUGUGAAAUGUUGGGUUAAGUCCCGCAACGAGCGCAACCCUUAUCCUUGCCCGCCAGCGAGUAAUGUCGGGAACUCCAGGGAGACUGCCGGUGAUA